Molecule: non-coding RNA, 457 nt
Organism: Vicugna pacos (alpaca)
Lineage: Eukaryota; Metazoa; Chordata; Mammalia; Artiodactyla; Camelidae
Source: RefSeq, a predicted model, not a curated record
CCGUGGUGCCUGCUCGCUGCGCGGGGCUGAGGGUCUGUCUAGGGGCCUGAGAAGGGGCUCCCGGAGUGGCGAAUGGGGGCUCUCUUUGGGUGCUGAAGAGUAGCGAUGUCAGGAGUCAAGGCUGCAGGAGCCUCAGCCAGAAAAGAAGCGGAAAUCCACUGUGCCUGGUACCCAGGGAGCACUGCCGGUCACUUCUCCAUCUGUUUCACGCUGAGUGAGGCCCUGGGAAGCUGAGGACAGGACAUUAGGUUUGCAUGCAUCAGUCCGGUGUACGUGUGAGAUGAGGCUGUGAGAUCUUGCUUCACUCUGGUGUUCUUAUAAGAAGAGGUGAGGAGAAGGCAGUCCAUCUGCAAGCCGAGGACAGAGGCCCUCAGGAGAAACUGACUCUACAGACACCUUGAUCUUCAACUUCCAGACUCCAGAAGAGUGAGAAAAUAAAUUUCUGUUGUUUAAACCA